RNAcentral lists this unclassified non-coding RNA (300 nucleotides) under uncultured bacterium. RNAcentral describes it as "contains 16S-23S intergenic spacer region". The record is from RNAcentral.
AAGAUCACUGCGCACCCUGAUGCUGGCAGUAGUCCACCGAUCGCGCGAUAAAAUAUUCUGAACAAAUCCCGAGUACUUGAUUUUUUCGUCAUCAAAUCCGUAACCUACGCUUGCACCGAUGAUCCAUUUUUUGCUGAAAUCGACAUUGGUUUUAAAUCCGCCUUGCAGUCUGAAACCUUCUAUGUUAUUAUAAGCUACGGUAGAAAUAUAAGGGCCAAGGUUAAUCUUUCCCGCAACGUAAUAGCCAUUUACCACAAUCUUUAUCAGGUCUGUAUAGGUCUUUACAACCGGAAUACUUUG